Molecule: transfer RNA, 71 nt
Filed under: Echinostoma paraensei
Lineage: Eukaryota; Metazoa; Platyhelminthes; Trematoda; Plagiorchiida; Echinostomatidae
Description: tRNA-Thr
Source: RNAcentral
CUUGUUGUUUUAGGUUGAUUUUAGGAUUAUUAGUUUAAUGUUAAGAAUUCUGUUUUUGUAAAGCAGGGGUA